UUGGAGGGCAAGUCUGGUGCCAGCAGCCGCGGUAAUUCCAGCUCCAAUAGCGUAUAUUAAACUUGUUGCAGUUAAAAAGCUCGUAGUUGAAUUUCGGGAUUGACACAUCGGUCGUGCCUUAAGGGGUAUGAACUGGUGUAGUCAAUUUCUCACCUUCUGGAGAACCACGAUGCCCUUAAUUGGGUGUCGCGGGGAACCAGGACCUUUACUUUGGAAAUAUUAGAGUGUUUAAGGCAGGCAUUUUGCUUGAAUACAUUAGCAUGGAAUAAUAAAAUAGGACGGCAUGAUUCUAUUUUGUUGGUUUCUAGGAUCACCGUAAUGAUUAAUAGGGAUAGUUGGGGGCACUAGUAUUCAAUUGUCAGAGGUGAAAUUCUUGGAUUUAUUGAAGACUAACUACUGCGAAAGCAUUUGCCAAGGAUGUUUUCAUUAAUCAAGAACGAAAGUUAGGGGAUCGAAGACGAUCAGAUACCGUCGCAGUCUUAACCAUAAACUAUGCCGACUAGGAAUCAGACGAUGUUAAUUUUUUAAUGACUCGUUUGGCACCUUACGGGAAACCAAAGUGUUUGGGUUC
Molecule: ribosomal RNA, 571 nt
Filed under: uncultured Glomeromycotina
Lineage: Eukaryota; Fungi; Glomeromycota
Description: SSU rRNA
Rfam family: Eukaryotic small subunit ribosomal RNA
Source: RNAcentral